This 352-nucleotide unclassified non-coding RNA is filed under the name soil metagenome. Its description in RNAcentral is "partial contains 5.8S ribosomal RNA, internal transcribed spacer 2, and large subunit ribosomal RNA". The stretch from base 1 to 120 matches the Rfam family "5.8S ribosomal RNA", at positions 35 to 154 of the family's 154-position model. The record is from RNAcentral.
GAUGAAGAACGCAGCGAAAUGCGAAAAGUAAUGUGAAUUGCAGAAUUCAGUGAAUCAUCGAAUCUUUGAACGCACAUUGCGCCCGCUGGUACUCCGGCGGGCACGCCUGUCCGAGCGUCAUUUCAACUCUCAAGCCCUCCUUCGGGAUGGGCCUGGUGUUGGGGCUCGGCCGCCAUCUCCGGCGGCCGUCCCCUAAAUACAGUGGCGGUCACGUCGCGACUCCUUUGCGUAGUAGAAACACCUCGCUCCGGAUAGCAACGCGGUCCACGCCGUAAAACCCCCAAUUUUCAAUGGUUGACCUCGGAUCAGGUGGGAAUACCCGCUGAACUUAAGCAUAUCAAUAAGCGGAGGA